UACGUAGGAGGGCAAGCGUUGUCGGAAUUAUUGGGCGUAAAGGGCGCGUAGGCGGCCUGGCAAGUGGAAGGUGAAAUCCCUCGGCUUAACCGAGGAACUGCCCUCCAAACUGCUUGGCUUGAGACCGGGAGAGGUGAGUGGAAUUCCCAGUGUAGCGGUGAAAUGCGUAGAUAUCGGGAGGAACACCAGUGGCGAAGGCGAGUCUCUGGGCAGUAACUGACGCUGAGGAGCGAAAGCGUGGGGAGCGAACAGG
RNAcentral lists this ribosomal RNA (253 nucleotides) under uncultured bacterium. Its description in RNAcentral is "partial 16S ribosomal RNA". It matches the Rfam family "Bacterial small subunit ribosomal RNA", at positions 524 to 776 of the family's 1533-position model. The record is from RNAcentral.